GAUGAAGAACGCAGCGAAAUGCGAUAAGUAAUGCGAAUUGCAGAAUUCAGCGAGUCAUCGAAUCUUUGAACGCACAUUGCGCCCCCUGGUAUUCCGGGGGGCAUGCCUGUCCGAGCGUCAUUGCUGCCCUCAAGCCCGGCUUGUGUGUUGGGUCUCGUCCCCCUUCCCGGGGGGACGGGCCCGAAAGGCAGCGGCGGCACCGCGUCCGGUCCUCGAGCGUAUGGGGCUUUGUCACCCGCUCUGUAGGCCCGGCCGGCGCUUGCCGAUCAACCAAAACUUUUUUCCAGGUUGACCUCGGAUCAGGUAGGGAUACCCGCUGAACUUAAGCAUAUCAAUAAGCGGAGGA
Molecule: unclassified non-coding RNA, 346 nt
Filed under: soil metagenome
Description: partial contains 5.8S ribosomal RNA, internal transcribed spacer 2, and large subunit ribosomal RNA
Rfam family: 5.8S ribosomal RNA (bases 1-120)
Source: RNAcentral